ACAGCAGUCGCCGCGGGAAUACGGAGGAUCCAAGCGUUAUCCGGAAUCAUUGGGUUUAAAGGGUCCGUAGGCGGUCUUGUAAGUCAGUGGUGAAAGCCCAUCGCUCAACGGUGGAACGGCCAUUGAUACUGCAGGACUUGAAUUAUUGGGAAGUAACUAGAAUAUGUAGUGUAGCGGUGAAAUGCUUAGAGAUUACAUGGAAUACCAAUUGCGAAGGCAGGUUACUACCAAUUGAUUGACGCUGAUGGACGAAAGCGUGGGUAGCGAACAGGAUUAGAUACCCCGGUAGUCCCUGUCUCUUAUAA
RNAcentral lists this ribosomal RNA (305 nucleotides) under uncultured bacterium. Its description in RNAcentral is "partial 16S ribosomal RNA". It matches the Rfam family "Bacterial small subunit ribosomal RNA", at positions 508 to 809 of the family's 1533-position model. The record is from RNAcentral.